CGGGGCGUAGCGCAGCCAGGGUAGCGCACCAGCAUGGGGGGCUGGGGGUCGCUGGUUCAAAUCCAGUCGCCCCGACCA
Molecule: transfer RNA, 78 nt
Filed under: candidate division TA06 bacterium
Lineage: Bacteria
Description: tRNA-Pro
Rfam family: tRNA
About the family: Transfer RNA (tRNA) molecules are approximately 80 nucleotides in length.
Source: RNAcentral